AGUGAACGCUGGCGGUAGGCCUAACACAUGCAAGUCGAACGAGUGGCGGACGGGUGGGGAAUACAUUGGAAUCUACUCAGUCGUCGGGGAUAACGUAGGGAAACCUACGCUACUACCGCAUACGACUGUAUGAGCCGAUGCCGGUUUAGCUAGUUGGCGGGGUAAAGGCCCACCAAGGCGACGAUCCGUAGCUGGUCUGAGAGGAUGAUCAGCCACACUGGAACUGAGACACGGUCCAGACUCCUACGGGAGGCAGCAGUGGGGAAUAUUGCACAAUGGGCGCAAGCCUGAUGCAGCCAUGCCGCGUGAAUGAAGAAGGCCUUCGGGUUGUAAAGUACUUUCAGCGGGGAGGCGUUACCCGCAGAGAAAGCACCGGCUAACUCCGUGCCAGCAGCCGCGGUAAUAC
RNAcentral lists this ribosomal RNA (406 nucleotides) under uncultured bacterium. Its description in RNAcentral is "partial 16S ribosomal RNA". It matches the Rfam family "Bacterial small subunit ribosomal RNA", at positions 29 to 526 of the family's 1533-position model. The record is from RNAcentral.